RNAcentral lists this ribosomal RNA (492 nucleotides) under uncultured bacterium. RNAcentral's name for it is "partial 16S ribosomal RNA". It matches the Rfam family "Bacterial small subunit ribosomal RNA", at positions 30 to 507 of the family's 1533-position model. The record is from RNAcentral.
AGUGAACGCUGGCGGUAGGCCUAACACAUGCAAGUCGAACGGCAGCACAGUAAGAGCUUGCUCUUACGGGUGGCGAGUGGCGGACGGGUGAGGAAUAUAUCGGAAUCUACUUUUUCGUGGGGGAUAACGUAGGGAAACUUACGCUAAUACCGCAUACGACCUACGGGUGAAAGCAGGGGAUCUUCGGACCUUUCGCGAUUGAAUGAGCCGAUGUCGGAUUAGCUAGUUGGCGGGGUAAAGGCCCACCAAGGCGCCGAUCCGCAGCUGGUCUGAGAGGAUGAUCGGCGACACUGGAAGUGAGACGCGGACCAGGCUCCUGCGGGAGGCAGCAGUGGGGAAUGUGGGGCAAUGGGGGGGAGCCUGAUCCAGCGAUACCGCGUGGGUGAAGAAGGCGUUCGGGUUGGGAAGCCGUUUUGUUGGGAGAGAAAAGCAGCAGGUUGAUACGCCGCGGUAGUGACGGUAACGGGAGAAUAAGCACCGGCUAACUACGUG